GAGUUUGAUCCUGGCUCAGGACGAACGCUGGCGGCGUGCCUAACACAUGCAAGUCAACUUGACGGAAGGAGCAAUCUGACCGUAGAGUGGCGCAAGGGUGCGUAACGCGUAAGUAACUUGCCCCAAGGUAAGGAAUAACGUCGAGAAAUCGGCGCUAAUACCUCAUAAUGCAGCGGAUCCGCAUGGAUAUGUUGUUAAAGGUUUACCGCCUUGGGAUAGGCUUGCGUCUGAUUAGCUAGUUGGUGUGGUAACGGCACACCAAGGCUACGAUCAGUAACUGGUCUGAGAGGAUGAUCAGUCACACUGGAACUGAGACACGGUCCAGACUCCUACGGGAGGCAGCAGUGAGGAAUAUUGGGCAAUGCUCGAAAGAGUGACCCAGCAACGCCGCGUGGAGGAUGAAGGUAUUCUAUAUCGUAAACUCCUGUGAGAGCAGACGAAAGACAGAUUAUUAAUCUGGAUGACUGUAUGCUCAGAGGAAGCCCCGGCUAACUACGUGCCAGCAGCCGCGGUAAUACGUAGGGGGCAAGCGUUGUCCGGAUUCACUGGGUGUAAAGGGCGCGUAGGCGGGAUAGCAAGUCAGUGGUGAAAUCUUGCAGCUCAACUGCAAAACUGCCAUUGAUACUGCUGUUCUUGAAUGUGGAAGAGAGAGGCGGAAUUCCAGGUGUAGUAGUGAAAUACGUAGAUAUCUGGAAGAACACCAAUUGCGAAGGCUGCUUCUUGGUCCAUUAUUGACGCUGAGGCGCGAAAGCGUGGGGAGCAAACAGGAUUAGAUACCCUGGUAGUCCACGCUGUAAACGAUGAGUGCUAGAUGCCGGAUUUUUUCGGUGUCGCAGCUAACGCAUUAAGCACUCCACCUGGGAAGUACGAUCGCAGGUUGAAACUCAAGGAAUUGACGGGGGCCCGCACAAGCAGUGGAGCAUGUGGUUUAAUUCGAUGCAACGCGAAGAAUCUUACCUAGGCUUGAAAAGCUUAUGACCGGCUGUGAAAGCAGCUUUCCCCGCAAGGGCCAUAGGUACAGGUGCUUGCAUGGCUGUCGUCAGUUUCGUGCCGUGAGUGUUGGUAAGUCCCGCAACGAGCGCAUCCUUACAUAAGUUGCCACCGGGAGCAAUUUCGAGUCACUCUAUGUAACUGCCUACGUCAGUAGAGUACGUUAGGAUGACGUCAGUUCCGCAUUGUCCUUACCCCUUAGGGCUAUCUACACAUCGGUGCUUUU
Molecule: ribosomal RNA, 1216 nt
Filed under: denitrifying bacterium enrichment culture clone NOA_0_G5
Lineage: Bacteria
Description: bacterial SSU rRNA
Rfam family: Bacterial small subunit ribosomal RNA
Source: RNAcentral